GGCCUCGAAUCGGGCGGAUACCA
RNAcentral lists this ribosomal RNA (23 nucleotides) under uncultured Basidiomycota. RNAcentral describes it as "partial 28S ribosomal RNA". The record is from RNAcentral. Lineage: Eukaryota; Fungi; Basidiomycota.